Molecule: ribosomal RNA, 596 nt
Filed under: uncultured Alphaproteobacteria bacterium
Lineage: Bacteria; Pseudomonadati; Pseudomonadota; Alphaproteobacteria
Description: bacterial SSU rRNA
Rfam family: Bacterial small subunit ribosomal RNA
Source: RNAcentral
GGCGUGCCUAACACAUGCAAGUCGAACGCGGUUAGUAGCAAUACUAACUGAGUGGCGAACGGGUGAGUAACACGUGGGUGACCUACCUUCUAGUGGGGGAUAACGUCCCGAAAGGGACGCUAAUACCGCAUAACAUCCUGCCCUUGAACGGGUGGAGAUCAAAGCCGGGGAUCGUAAGACCUGGCGCUGGAAGAGGGGCCCGCGUCUGAUUAGCUAGUUGGUGGGGUAACGGCCCACCAAGGCGACGAUCAGUAGCUGGUCUGAGAGGAUGAUCAGCCUCACUGGGACUGAGACACGGCCCAGACUCCUACGGGAGGCAGCAGUGGGGAAUAUUGGACAAUGGGCGCAAGCCUGAUCCAGCCAUGCCGCGUGGGUGAUGAAGGCCCUAGGGUUGUAAAGCCCUUUCGGCGGGGAAGAUAAUGACGGUACCCGCAGAAGAAGCCCCGGCUAACUUCGUGCCAGCAGCCGCGGUAAUACGAAGGGGGCUAGCGUUGCUCGGAAUCACUGGGCGUAAAGCGCACGUAGGCGGCUUGUUAAGUCAGGGGUGAAAUCCUGGAGCUCAACUCCAGAACUGCCUUUGAUACUGGCGAGCUUGA